UCUAAGCGAUUGAACAUUUAUAUUUUUUUUGCAAACAAUAUCAAGAUCAGAGGUUUUGUUAUCAUCAUCUACAUUCUCUGAUUUAUGUAGUGUCUAUGAACGUUAAUCAUGUCUUGGACAUUUAUCAAACUUACUGAUUUUUGUUUAUUUUGAUUUUCAUGUGAAUCCCUAAAUCUUGGAUAACAAUCGGACUCCGAUCAUUCAACAAGCAACAGAGUUCGUCGACCAAAACAGUUAUGGAUCCUAAAAACAAUGCUCCAAUCGUUUUUAAAGUUGAUUGAUGACUAUCAUCCUAUAUUUU
This is a long non-coding RNA of Helianthus annuus (common sunflower), 301 nucleotides long. RefSeq lists it as uncharacterized. The record is from RefSeq and is a predicted model, not a curated record. NCBI's taxonomy places the organism in Eukaryota, Viridiplantae, Streptophyta, Magnoliopsida, Asterales, Asteraceae. The transcript has 3 exons.